AACGAACGCUGGCGGCAUGCCUAACACAUGCAAGUCGAACGAGACCUUCGGGUCUAGUGGCGCACGGGUGCGUAACGCGUGGGAACCUGCCCUUAGGUUCGGAAUAACUCCCCGAAAGGGGUGCUAAUACCGGAUAAUGUCUUCGGACCAAAGAUUUAUCGCCUUUGGAUGGGCCCGCGUUGGAUUAGCUAGUUGGUAGGGUAAAAGCCUACCAAGGCGACGAUCCAUAGCUGGUCUGAGAGGAUGAUCAGCCACACUGGGACUGAGACACGGCCCAGACUCCUACGGGAGGCAGCAGUGGGGAAUAUUGGACAAAGGGCGAAAGCCUGAUCCAGCAAUGCCGCGUGAGUGAUGAAGGCCUUAGGGUUGUAAAGCUCUUUUACCCGGGAUGAUAAUGACAGUACCGGGAGAAUAAGCGCCGGCUAACUCCGUG
Molecule: ribosomal RNA, 433 nt
Filed under: uncultured bacterium
Lineage: Bacteria
Description: partial 16S ribosomal RNA
Rfam family: Bacterial small subunit ribosomal RNA
Source: RNAcentral